Molecule: ribosomal RNA, 464 nt
Filed under: uncultured bacterium
Lineage: Bacteria
Description: partial 16S ribosomal RNA
Rfam family: Bacterial small subunit ribosomal RNA
Source: RNAcentral
CUACGGGCGGCUGCAGUGGGGAAUAUUGGAAAAUGGGCGAAAGCCUGAUCCAGCAAUGCCGCGUGUGUGAUGAAGGCCUGCGGGUUGUAAAGCACUUUAGGUGGGGAAGAAAUACUUGAAACUAAUACUUUCAAGGGUUGACGUUACCCAAAGAAUAAGCACCGGCUAACUCUGUGCCAGCAGCCGCGGUAAUACAGAGGGUGCAAGCGUUAAUCGGAGUUACUGGGCGUAAAGGGCGCGUAGGUGGAUGCUUAAGUCGGAUGUGAAAUACCCGGGCUUAACCUGGGAACUGCAUUCGAUACUAAAUGUCUAGAGUAUGGUAGAGGAAAGUGGAAUUUCUGGUGUAGCGGUAAAAUGCGUAGAUAUCAGAAAGAACAUCAGUGGCGAAGGCGGCUUUCUGGACCAAUACUGACACUGAGGCGCGAAAGCGUGGGGAGCAAACAGGAUUAGAUACCCGCGUAGUC